GAUGAACACUGGCGGCGUGCUUAACACAUGCAAGUCGAACGGUGAAGCAGAGCUUGCUCUGUGGAUCAGUGGCGAACGGGUGAGUAACACGUGAGCAACCUGCCCCUGACUCUGGGAUAAGCGCUGGAAACGGCGUCUAAUACUGGAUAUGAGCUGCGACCGCAUGGUCAGCAGUUGGAAAGAUUUUUCGGUCUGGGAUGGGCUCACGGCCUAUCAGCUUGUUGGUGAGGUAAUGGCUCACCAAGGCGUCGACGGGUAGCCGGCCUGAGAGGGUGACCGGCCACACUGGGACUGAGACACGGCCCAGACUCCUACGGGAGGCAGCAGUGGGGAAUAUUGCACAAUGGGCGAAAGCCUGAUGCAGCAACGCCGCGUGAGGGAUGACGGCCUUCGGGUUGUAAACCUCUUUUAGCAGGGAAGAAGCGAAAGUGACGGUACCUGCAGAAAAAGCGCCGGCUAACUACGUG
Molecule: ribosomal RNA, 467 nt
Filed under: uncultured bacterium
Lineage: Bacteria
Description: partial 16S ribosomal RNA
Rfam family: Bacterial small subunit ribosomal RNA
Source: RNAcentral